RNAcentral lists this ribosomal RNA (301 nucleotides) under uncultured bacterium. RNAcentral describes it as "partial 16S ribosomal RNA". It matches the Rfam family "Bacterial small subunit ribosomal RNA", at positions 509 to 807 of the family's 1533-position model. The record is from RNAcentral.
CAGCAGCCACGGUAAUACGAAGGGGGCUAGCGUUGCUCGGAAUUACUGGGCGUAAAGGGCGCGUAGGCGGAUAGUUUAGUCAGAGGUGAAAGCCCAGGGCCCAACCCUGGAAUUGCCUUUGAUACUGGCUAUCUUGAGUUCGGGAGAGGUGAGUGGAACUCCGAGUGUAGAGGUGAAAUUCGUAGAUAUUCGGAAGAACACCAGUGGCGAAGGCGACUCACUGGCCCGAUACUGACGCUGAGGCGCGAAAGCGUGGGGAGCAAACAGGAUUAGAUACCCCGGUAGUCCCUGUCUCUUAUAC